GACGAACGCUGGCGGCGUGCCUAAUACAUGCAAGUCGAACGCUGAAGGAGGAGCUUGCUUCUCUGGAUGAGUUGCGAACGGGUGAGUAACGCGUAGGUAACCUGCCUGGUAGCGGGGGAUAACUAUUGGAAACGAUAGCUAAUACCGCAUAAGAGUAGAUGUCGCAUGACAUUUGCUUAAAAGGUGCAAUUGCAUCACUACCAGAUGGACCUGCGUUGUAUUAGCUAGUUGGUGAGGUAACGGCUCACCAAGGCAACGAUACAUAGCCGACCUGAGAGGGUGAUCGGCCACACUGGGACUGGGACACGGCCCAGACUCCUACGGGAGGCAGCAGGAGGGAAUCUUCGGCAAUGGACGGAAGUCUGACCGAGCAACGCCGCGUGAGUGAAGAAGGUUUUCGGAUCGUAAAGCUCUGUUGUAAGAGAAGAACGAGUGUGAGAGUGGAAAGUUCACACUGUGACGGUAUCUUACCAGAAAGGGACGGCUAACUACGUG
RNAcentral lists this ribosomal RNA (495 nucleotides) under uncultured bacterium. Its description in RNAcentral is "partial 16S ribosomal RNA". It matches the Rfam family "Bacterial small subunit ribosomal RNA", at positions 28 to 507 of the family's 1533-position model. The record is from RNAcentral.